GUACACACCGCCCGUCACACCAUGGGAGCCGGUAAUACCCGAAGUCAGUAGUCUAACCGCAAGGAGGACGCUGCCGAAGGUAGGAUUGGCGACUGGGUGAAGUCGUAACAAGGUAAC
RNAcentral lists this ribosomal RNA (117 nucleotides) under uncultured bacterium. Its description in RNAcentral is "partial 16S ribosomal RNA". It matches the Rfam family "Bacterial small subunit ribosomal RNA", at positions 1383 to 1500 of the family's 1533-position model. The record is from RNAcentral.